RNAcentral lists this ribosomal RNA (2929 nucleotides) under Bacillus cereus. RNAcentral's name for it is "23S ribosomal RNA". It matches the Rfam family "Bacterial large subunit ribosomal RNA". The record is from RNAcentral. Lineage: Bacteria; Bacillati; Bacillota; Bacilli; Caryophanales; Bacillaceae.
UUUGGUUAAGUUAGAAAGGGCGCACGGUGGAUGCCUUGACACUAGGAGUCGAUGAAGGACGGGACUAACGCCGAUAUGCUUCGGGGAGCUGUAAGUAAGCUUUGAUCCGAAGAUUUCCGAAUGGGGAAACCCACCAUACGUAAUGGUAUGGUAUCCUUAUCUGAAUACAUAGGGUAAGGAAGACAGACCCAGGGAACUGAAACAUCUAAGUACCUGGAGGAAGAGAAAGCAAAUGCGAUUUCCUGAGUAGCGGCGAGCGAAACGGAACAUAGCCCAAACCAAGAGGCUUGCCUCUUGGGGUUGUAGGACAUUCUAUACGGAGUUACAAAGGAACGAGGUAGACGAAGCGACCUGGAAAGGUCCGUCGUAGAGGGUAACAACCCCGUAGUCGAAACUUCGUUCUCUCUUGAAUGUAUCCUGAGUACGGCGGAACACGUGAAAUUCCGUCGGAAUCUGGGAGGACCAUCUCCCAAGGCUAAAUACUCCCUAGUGAUCGAUAGUGAACCAGUACCGUGAGGGAAAGGUGAAAAGCACCCCGGAAGGGGAGUGAAAGAGAUCCUGAAACGGUGUGCCUACAAAUAGUCAGAGCCCGUUAACGGGUGAUGGCGUGCCUUUUGUAGAAUGAACCGGCGAGUUACGAUCCCGUGCGAGGUUAAGCUGAAGAGGCGGAGCCGCAGCGAAAGCGAGUCUGAAUAGGGCGUUUAGUACGUGGUCGUAGACCCGAAACCAGGUGAUCUACCCAUGUCCAGGGUGAAGUUCAGGUAACACUGAAUGGAGGCCCGAACCCACGCACGUUGAAAAGUGCGGGGAUGAGGUGUGGGUAGCGGAGAAAUUCCAAUCGAACCUGGAGAUAGCUGGUUCUCCCCGAAAUAGCUUUAGGGCUAGCCUUAAGUGUAAGAGUCUUGGAGGUAGAGCACUGAUUGGACUAGGGGUCCUCAUCGGAUUACCGAAUUCAGUCAAACUCCGAAUGCCAAUGACUUAUCCUUAGGAGUCAGACUGCGAGUGAUAAGAUCCGUAGUCAAAAGGGAAACAGCCCAGACCGCCAGCUAAGGUCCCAAAGUGUGUAUUAAGUGGAAAAGGAUGUGGAGUUGCUUAGACAACUAGGAUGUUGGCUUAGAAGCAGCCACCAUUUAAAGAGUGCGUAAUAGCUCACUAGUCGAGUGACUCUGCGCCGAAAAUGUACCGGGGCUAAAUACACCACCGAAGCUGCGGAUUGAUACCAAUGGUAUCAGUGGUAGGGGAGCGUUCUAAGGACAGUGAAGUCAGACCGGAAGGACUGGUGGAGUGCUUAGAAGUGAGAAUGCCGGUAUGAGUAGCGAAAGACGGGUGAGAAUCCCGUCCACCGAAUGCCUAAGGUUUCCUGAGGAAGGCUCGUCCGCUCAGGGUUAGUCAGGACCUAAGCCGAGGCCGACAGGCGUAGGCGAUGGACAACAGGUUGAUAUUCCUGUACCACCUCUUUAUCGUUUGAGCAAUGGAGGGACGCAGAAGGAUAGAAGAAGCGUGCGAUUGGUUGUGCACGUCCAAGCAGUUAGGCUGAUAAGUAGGCAAAUCCGCUUAUCGUAAAGGCUGAGCUGUGAUGGGGAAGCUCCUUAUGGAGCAAAGUCUUUGAUUCCCCGCUGCCAAGAAAAGCUUCUAGCGAGAUAAAAGGUGCCUGUACCGCAAACCGACACAGGUAGGCGAGGAGAGAAUCCUAAGGUGUGCGAGAGAACUCUGGUUAAGGAACUCGGCAAAAUGACCCCGUAACUUCGGGAGAAGGGGUGCUUUCUUAACGGAAAGCCGCAGUGAAUAGGCCCAAGCGACUGUUUAGCAAAAACACAGCUCUCUGCGAAGCCGUAAGGCGAAGUAUAGGGGGUGACACCUGCCCGGUGCUGGAAGGUUAAGGAGAGGGGUUAGCGUAAGCGAAGCUCUGAACUGAAGCCCCAGUAAACGGCGGCCGUAACUAUAACGGUCCUAAGGUAGCGAAAUUCCUUGUCGGGUAAGUUCCGACCCGCACGAAAGGUGUAACGAUUUGGGCACUGUCUCAACCAGAGACUCGGUGAAAUUAUAGUACCUGUGAAGAUGCAGGUUACCCGCGACAGGACGGAAAGACCCCGUGGAGCUUUACUGUAGCCUGAUAUUGAAUUUUGGUACAGUUUGUACAGGAUAGGCGGGAGCCAUUGAAACCGGAGCGCUAGCUUCGGUGGAGGCGCUGGUGGGAUACCGCCCUGACUGUAUUGAAAUUCUAACCUACGGGUCUUAUCGACCCGGGAGACAGUGUCAGGUGGGCAGUUUGACUGGGGCGGUCGCCUCCUAAAGUGUAACGGAGGCGCCCAAAGGUUCCCUCAGAAUGGUUGGAAAUCAUUCGUAGAGUGCAAAGGCAUAAGGGAGCUUGACUGCGAGACCUACAAGUCGAGCAGGGACGAAAGUCGGGCUUAGUGAUCCGGUGGUUCCGCAUGGAAGGGCCAUCGCUCAACGGAUAAAAGCUACCCCGGGGAUAACAGGCUUAUCUCCCCCAAGAGUCCACAUCGACGGGGAGGUUUGGCACCUCGAUGUCGGCUCAUCGCAUCCUGGGGCUGUAGUCGGUCCCAAGGGUUGGGCUGUUCGCCCAUUAAAGCGGUACGCGAGCUGGGUUCAGAACGUCGUGAGACAGUUCGGUCCCUAUCCGUCGUGGGCGUAGGAAAUUUGAGAGGAGCUGUCCUUAGUACGAGAGGACCGGGAUGGACGCACCGCUGGUGUACCAGUUGUUCUGCCAAGGGCAUAGCUGGGUAGCUAUGUGCGGAAGGGAUAAGUGCUGAAAGCAUCUAAGCAUGAAGCCCCCCUCAAGAUGAGAUUUCCCAUAGCGUAAGCUAGUAAGAUCCCUGAAAGAUGAUCAGGUUGAUAGGUUCGAGGUGGAAGCAUGGUGACAUGUGGAGCUGACGAAUACUAAUAGAUCGAGGACUUAACCAUAUAA